This 303-nucleotide ribosomal RNA is filed under the name uncultured bacterium. RNAcentral describes it as "partial 16S ribosomal RNA". It matches the Rfam family "Bacterial small subunit ribosomal RNA", at positions 507 to 807 of the family's 1533-position model. The record is from RNAcentral.
AGCAGCCGCCGCGGGAAUGCGAAGGGGGCUAGCGUUGUUCGGAAUUACUGGGCGUAAAGGGCGCGUAGGCGGCCAUUCAAGUUAGAUGUGAAAGCCCUGGGCUCAACCUAGGAAUUGCAUUUGAUACUGUUUGGCUUGAGUUCGGGAGAGGUGAGUGGAAUUCCCAGUGUAGAGGUGAAAUUCGUAGAUAUUGGGAAGAACACCGGUGGCGAAGGCGGCGACCUGGUCCUUCACUGACGCUGAGGCGCGAAAGCGUGGGGAGCAAACAGGAUUAGAUACCCCCGUAGUCCCUGUCUCUUAUAC